AAGUUAAAUGAACAAGUGAACAAUUAUCAAAUAAUUACGUUAAUAAACAAAUAUAUUUAAAUAAAUAAAAAAGAGAGAAAGAGGGCAGAUACAGAGAAUCAAAUUUUUUUCCACACAACAUUAAAUGAUGCAUAAAUAGAUUGCAGUAGAAGCCAUCUUUCUUUGACAUAAUAUUUGAAGGAUACGCCACUUGACAUCUAUUAUGUAUAGGUUCAAUUCAUUUUCUUUAACUCACCCACAUCACAAUCACACAAUCAUUUUUCACUCUACCCGAUUAAAACCGUUCAUUCCCCCUCACUCCAUAAAUCUCUCCCACAUCUAAACCAAAUCACAUUCCCUCUAUAAUAUUCCUUUCACAGUCAGUUUUCUACUAUUCCGUUCUCUGCAUCAAGAAAACAAGACUUAUUCUUCUCAACUUCAAUUCAAGUGAGGAGAAACUGACAAUUGAAAUAGAAGUGAGGAGAAACUGACAAUUGAAAUAGAAGCCGAGAAAUUCAUCGAGUUGCUUCCUUUUUUCACAAAUCUGCCAAUUGAAGGUAUACACUUUCCCCACCCAAAUCCAAUUCUAUACUUGUGCAUCUCAUGAAAUCAGUAACCGAAGCAAAUCAAUAAUUCGGACAAACUAAAUCAAAUAAUCGAAAUUCAAUUCAUGAAAUCAAAUUAAGAACUUAUCUUCGGGGCUGUUCGGGUUAGUUUCGGGACGUUUCGGGGCUGUUCGGAGUUGCUCGGAACUGCGCGGUGUCGGUUCGGGGUGGACUCGGAGUCAAUCGGAAGCUGACCGGCAGGCUGGGACAGCAGCGGCUACAGCAGCGCCUCCCGGCAGCUGCAUCGCGUCUCCCGGCAGCGACAGCAGCAUCUCCCGGCGGCGACGGAGCAGCGACAGCAGGCGCCUGACUCAGCGCUGCUGCUCGGCUUCGGUGACUCCACGGCGGCGAAUCUGGAGCGAUGCGGCGGCAGCGGAGGAGCCCGACGGCAGCAGCGGCGUCGGGCGACGGAGGGGCGAAUCGGCGCUACCGCCGAUGGUUCAGCGGCGUGCGACUGAAGGAUCGGACGACACCUACGUCGCCGGAGUACAGUGAGCGUCGGAGGGGAGACGGCCGACGACUCUGGUGUGGUGAGGUUGGCGGAAGGCGACGGGAUUUGGGGUGAUGAGAGAGAGAUUGAAAUGGUGAAUGAAUGAUAUGUGUUGACCGAGAUGGAGGAAGUAGAGGGAAUCUCUUUUGCUUUGGGCCAUCCUUUUUAUUUUGUUUGGGCUCAAUCUUUUAUUUGUGUUGGGCUCAAGUUUUAAUUGGAGAAAUAAGGUGGGCUAGGAUAACAAUUGUCUUGGGUAAAAUUUAUUAAUCCUUGGACCGAUAAUUUAAUUGUUGAGAAUUAUUUAAUUAUUUUCGAAAUAAUUUUGAAGUA
Long non-coding RNA from Salvia splendens (bonfire salvia), 1404 nucleotides. RefSeq lists it as uncharacterized. The transcript is spliced from 2 exons. The record is from RefSeq and is a predicted model, not a curated record. Lineage: Eukaryota; Viridiplantae; Streptophyta; Magnoliopsida; Lamiales; Lamiaceae.